RNAcentral lists this ribosomal RNA (1139 nucleotides) under uncultured phototrophic eukaryote. RNAcentral's name for it is "bacterial SSU rRNA". It matches the Rfam family "Bacterial small subunit ribosomal RNA", at positions 57 to 1271 of the family's 1533-position model. The record is from RNAcentral.
GCAAGUCGAACGAAAGUUUUUAACUUUAGUGGCGAACGGGUGCGUAAUACGUGAGAAUCUGCCCUUAGGAGAAGAAUAACUGCUGGAAACGGCUGCUAAAUCUUCAUAUGUCGAGAGAUGAAAUAGCUUAGGCUGCCUAAGGAUGAGCUCACGCCUGAUUAGCUAGUUGGUGAGGUAACGGCUCACCAAGGCCACGAUCAGUAGCUGGUUUGAGAGAACGAUCAGCCACACUGGGACUGAGACACGGCCCAGACUCCUCCGGGAGGCAGCAGUGAGGAAUUUUCCGCAAUGGGCGAAAGCCUGACGGAGCAAUACCGCGUGAGGGAUGAAGGAUUUUGGUCUGUAAACCUCUUUUCUCAAGAAAGAAGUUCUGACGGUACUUGAGGAAUAAGCAUCGGCUAACUCCGUGCCAGCAGCCGCGGUAAUACGGGGGAUGCAAGCGUUAUCCGGAAUCAUUGGGCGUAAAGCGCCUGUAGGUUGUUUAAUAAGUCUGUUGUUAAAGACUAGGGCUCAACCCUAGAAAAGCAAUGGAAACUACUAGACUAGAGUAUGGCAGGGGUAGAGGGAAUUUCUAGUGUAGCGGUGAAAUGCGUAGAUAUUAGAAAGAACACCGGUGGCGAAAGCGCUCUACUGGACCAUUACUGACACUCAGAGGCGAAAGCUAGGGUAGCAAAAGGGAUUAGAUACCCCUGUAGUCCUAGCCGUAAACGAUGGAUACUACAUGUUGUGCAUUAUGUACAGUAUGGUAGCUAACGCGUUAAGUAUCCCGCCUGGGGAGUACGCUCGCAAGGGUGAAACUCAAAGGAAUUGACGGGGGCCCGCACAAGCGGUGGAGCAUGUGGUUUAUUCGAUGCAACGCGAAGAAUCUUACCAGGGACUUGACAUACUACAAAUUCUUUUGAGAAAAAGAAGUGCCUUCGGGAAUGUAGAUACAGGUGGUGCAUGACUGUCGUCAGCUCGUGUCGUGGAGAAUGUGGGUAGUCCCGCAACGAGCGCACCCAUUAUUUUUAGUACAUCGUGGGUCUCUAGAAGACUGCGUGACAUCGAGAGUGGAGAUGACGUCAGUCAGCAUGCCCUUAGUCUGGCUACCACUGGCUACAUGUUAGACAAAGAGGCCGAGGCUCUGAGAGUUCAGCUAC